This is a long non-coding RNA of Felis catus (domestic cat), 2784 nucleotides long. RefSeq lists it as uncharacterized. Lineage: Eukaryota; Metazoa; Chordata; Mammalia; Carnivora; Felidae. The record is from RefSeq and is a predicted model, not a curated record. The transcript has 5 exons.
CUGCCCCUCCCCUGCUCACACUGUCUCUCAAAAUAAAUAAACAUUAAAAAAUAAUAAAAAAAUUAAAAAGUCUAAGCCACAUCACCUCCAUGAAGUUUGUUCCCCAAAGCACUCAUUUAUCUUUCUCUCACAUGAAUUCCUUCAAAAGCAACAUCUUUCUGCAUCUGUGUCAGCCUUUUGAUAUUGUCAGCCUUUUGAUUUUAGCCUUUCUAGUGGGUGUGCAGUGGUAUCUUAUGGUUUUAUUUGUAUUUCUGAAGUGACUAGUAAUAUUGAACAUCUUUUCAUGUGCUUAUUUUCAAGUCAUUUAUCUUAUUUGGUGAAAUGUCUAUUAAAAUAUUUUACCCGUUUUUAAUUAGGCUGUUGGUCUUACUAUUGAGUUAUGAAGUUUUUUUCUUAUAUGUAUUUUGGGUACAAGUCCUUUAUCAGGUGUGUGUUUUGCAAAUGUUUUCUCCCAGUUUAUGACUUUGUCAGUUCAUAAUGUUCUCAGUGUUGUAUUUUGAAGAACAAACAUUUUCAGUUUUGUAACUCCAGUUGGCCAACUUUUAUUCUUUUGGUGUCAUACCUAAGACGUUUUUGCCUAACCCAAGACUGCAAAGACUGUAAUCUUUCUUUGCCUCUAGAAGAUUUGUAGUUAAUUCUUAUAUUUAGGUGUACAAUCUGUCUUGAGUAAGUUUUUGUACAUUGUAUAAGGAAGAAGGCUAGGUUUAUUUUUUUGCAUUUAGAUUUACAGUUUUUCCAGCACCAUUUCAUUUGUUCGAAAGAUAAUUCUUAUCCCCUUGGAUUACCCUGGAAACUUUAUCAAAAAUAUAUUGACCUUAUAUGUAUAACUUAUUUCCAGACUCUAUUCUGUUCCAUUGAUCUAUACUUAUUCUUAUGCUAAUAUCACAUUGUCUUAAUCACUGAAGUUUUAUAGUAAGUCUUAAAUCAGGUAAGAUAAGUCCUCUGACUUUGUCCUUUUUCAAAGAGAUUUUGGCUGUUCUAUUUUUAUUUUUAUGUAAAUUUCAGGAUCUUCUUGUCAAUUUCUACAAAAGCCUGUGGGGAUUUUGAUAAGGAUUGCAUUAAAUCAAUAGGUUAAUUUAGAAGGAAUUGCCAACUAACAACAUUAAGUCUUUCCCAUCUAUGAAUAUGAAAUAAUUUUCUAUUUAAGCAUUUAAUUGCUUUCAACACUUCUGUAUAGUUUUCACUGUACAAGUCCUGCAUUUCUUUCGUUAAAUAUAUUCCUGAGUAUUUUGAUCUUUUGAUAGUAUUGUGAAUGAAAUCGUUUCCUCAAUUUCACUUUUGGAUUGUUCAUUGUUAGCUUAGAGAAAUAAAAUUGAUUUUUCUAUAUUGAUCUUGUAUACUCUGACCUUGCUAACCCAAACUGUUAGUUCUAUUUCUUUGUUUUUUUUUCUUUUUUCUUUUUUUGUAUCUUAGGAUUUUCUACAUCCAUGACUCUGUCAUCACAAAUAUAGUUUUACUUCUUCCUUUUCAAUGUUUAUGCCUCUAGUAUCUUUGUCUUAUUGCAUUGACAGAAUCUCCAGUACAAUCUUGAAUAGAAGUGAUGACAGUGGACAUCCUAAUCUUAUUCCUGAUUUGGAGGGAGGGGACAGAAUACAGUCUUUCACUACUACAUGGGAUGUUAAUUGUAGGUUUUCAGAGAUGCCCUUUAUCAGGUUGAGGAAGUUUGUUGAGAAUAUUUUUUUAAAUCAUAAAUAGCUAUUGAAUUUGGCCAAGUGAUUUUUUUUUUGCAUCUAUUGAGAUAGUAAUCUGUUUUGUUUUGUUUUUUUGUCCAUCACUGUAUUAAUAUAGUGCAUUACAUUAAAUUGAUUUUCAGUUGUUAAACUAACCUAGUAUUUCUGGGUUAAACUCCGCUUGGUCAUGAUGUGUAAUUGCUUUUAUAUGUGCUGAGACCUGUUUAAUAAUAUUUUGUUAAGGAUUUUCCUUCUAUACUCCUGAGGGGUAUUGGUCUGUAGUUUUCUUAUACUGUGUUUGGAUAACAUAGGGGGAAGAUGGCAGCAGAGGAGGACGCUGGGCUCACCUCAUCCUGCUGAUCACUUAGAUUCCACCCACACUUGCUUAAAUAACCCAGAAAACCGCCAGAAGACUAGCAGAAUGGACUCUCCGGAGCCAAGAGAAGACAAGAGCCCACGGAAGAAGAGUUUCCUAGAGGCUGAGUAUGAUGGUACUGUCACAAACCUUAAGAUCUACCAGCUGAAGGUGACUUCAGGGAUUUUCAAACAUCUUUUAUACCAAAAUCCAAGGGAUUGUUUUUAAAGCUUAUGUUGCCACUGGGAAUGAGUUCUUUAGAUUUUGAUUUUCUACAAAGAAAAGGAUACGAAAAUGAAAAGAAAGCAGGAGCUGAAAGAAUAGGAGAGAGAAGAGAAGGAGAAAUCAGAAAGGGAAAGAAGAAAACCAAGGACUGAUCCUUGGGAUGCUCCAAAAUUAAUAGGUCUUGGAGAAGAGAGAGUGCUAGCAUGAAGACUGAGAAGGAAUAACCAGUGAGCCAGGAAGCAAAUGAAAAAGAGUAUGGUGUCCUGGAAGCCAUGUGAAGAAAAUAUAUUGAGGAAGAGGGAGUCAUCAGCCAUGCCACUGGAUUUACAGGCAGCUAAUGAAGUAAACCAACCCAGGGACUUCCUCUAGACUGGGAGGUGCUAACCAAGGGAGUUCUACAGAAAGCAUGCCUGGGGUGAGUGGCUUGGCCUAGCUUUUAGUCUGUCCACAUCAGAGGACACAGUAUGGUGCCUCCCAGUCCUCAUCUGGCCCCCAGACCUUUUUGUUGUUGUUCUAAUAAAAUUUAAAAUCAUU